UCGUCACACUAUCAUUAACUGAAUCCAUAGGUUAAUGAGGCGAACCGGGGGAACUGAAACAUCUAAGUACCCCGAGGAAAAGAAAUCAACCGAGAUUCCCCCAGUAGCGGCGAGCGAACGGGGAGGAGCCCAGAGCCUGAAUCAGCAUGUGUGUUAGUGGAAGCGUCUGGAAAGGCGCGCGAUACAGGGUGACAGCCCCGUACACAAAAGCGCAUGUGCUGUGAGCUCGAUGAGUAGGGCGGGACACGUGGUAUCCUGUCUGAAUAUGGGGGGACCAUCCUCCAAGGCUAAAUACUCCUGACUGACCGAUAGUGAACCAGUACCGUGAGGGAAAGGCGAAAAGAACCCCGGCGAGGGGAGUGAAAAAGAACCUGAAACCGUGUACGUACAAGCAGUGGGAGCACAGGUUUACCUGUGUGACUGCGUACCUUUUGUAUAAUGGGUCAGCGACUUAUAUUCUGUAGCAAGGUUAACCGAAUAGGGGAGCCGGAGGGAAACCGAGUCUUAAUUGGGCGUUAAGUUGCAGGGUAUAGACCCGAAACCCGGUGAUCUAGCCAUGGGCAGGUUGAAGGUUGGGUAACACUAACUGGAGGACCGAACCGACUAAUGUUGAAAAAUUAGCGGAUGACCUGUGGCUGGGGGUGAAAGGCCAAUCAAACCGGGAGAUAGCUGGUUCUCCCCGAAAGCUAUUUAGGUAGCGCCUCGUGAAUUCAUCUCCGGGGGUAGAGCACUGUUUCGGCUAGGGGGCCAUCCCGGCUUACCAACCCGAUGCAAACUGCGAAUACCGGAGAAUGUUAUCACGGGAGACACACGGCGGGUGCUAACGUCCGUCGUGAAGAGGGAAACAACCCAGACCGCCAGCUAAGGUCCCAAAGUCAUGGUUAAGUGGGAAACGAUGUGGGAAGGCCCAGACAGCCAGGAUGUUGGCUUAGAAGCAGCCAUCAUUUAAAGAAAGCGUAAUAGCUCACUGGUCGAGUCGGCCUGCGCGGAAGAUGUAACGGGGCUAAACCAUGCACCGAAGCUGCGGCAGCGACGCUGAUGCGUUGUUGGGUAGGGGAGCGUUCUGUAAGCCUGUGAAGGUGGCCUGUGAGGGUUGCUGG
RNAcentral lists this ribosomal RNA (1100 nucleotides) under Salmonella enterica subsp. enterica serovar Muenchen. RNAcentral describes it as "partial 23S ribosomal RNA". It matches the Rfam family "Bacterial large subunit ribosomal RNA", at positions 140 to 1276 of the family's 2925-position model. The record is from RNAcentral. Lineage: Bacteria; Pseudomonadati; Pseudomonadota; Gammaproteobacteria; Enterobacterales; Enterobacteriaceae.